AUACUUACUUGGCGCAGGGGCAACCGCGAUCAAGAAGGCGGUUCCCCCAGGUCGAGGGCAAUCCAUUGCACUACGGGACAGCUUGACACCUGCGAUUAUCCCUAAUGAGGAUAAAUCGGGCGUUAAAUUUUUGGUAGUCGGGAUUUGCGUACGCGCGAUCCCGGU
Molecule: small nuclear RNA, 165 nt
Organism: Leptinotarsa decemlineata (Colorado potato beetle)
Lineage: Eukaryota; Metazoa; Arthropoda; Insecta; Coleoptera; Chrysomelidae
Product: U1 spliceosomal RNA
Source: RefSeq, a predicted model, not a curated record